Populus nigra (black poplar) is the source of this 424-nucleotide long non-coding RNA. RefSeq lists it as uncharacterized. The transcript is spliced from 2 exons. The record is from RefSeq and is a predicted model, not a curated record. Lineage: Eukaryota; Viridiplantae; Streptophyta; Magnoliopsida; Malpighiales; Salicaceae.
AAAGGCAGUUGAUAACAACUGGAAACGCAAACCUUUUUUUCUUUUUUCACUGAUUUAUCACUUCCUAGUUCCCGUUUCCCACCGGGAUGAUAAUUCUAUCUGCCUCAAUGAAGGUCUAGCUCUGUUAUCUGGAUGAAGGCUCGCAUGAAAGGUCAGGAGGAGUUCGCCGAGGAGAAAUACCAGAAAUCUAUAUGCAAAAACAUGCACUAUCAUCCCUAAUUUCUCAUGCUCAAACGCCUCCUUCUAGCUCCAAUAAUCGUUAAAUAAGACGCACAAUACCUUCGUUCCUUGUGCAUUUCAUGCUCUUUUUAUUCUAUCAAAAUUAGACAGCAAAACAAAUCUUCUGAUCGUGAUCUGAGGGAAUAUCUGAUUGUAAUUUAAACCAAUUAAUUAACGGUGUUUUUCCACCAUGAUUCUUUCUCAA